Molecule: long non-coding RNA, 694 nt
Filed under: Ostreococcus sp. 'lucimarinus'
Lineage: Eukaryota; Viridiplantae; Chlorophyta; Mamiellophyceae; Mamiellales; Bathycoccaceae
Description: long non-coding RNA (OLUC_LNC000042)
Source: RNAcentral
GCGAGGACGUCGCGCGAGCGCGGCGACGAAUCGACGAGGGUUCGAGAGCGAACGUCGCGCGCGACGCGUGGACGCGCGGACGUCUGGACGCGCGCGCACGGCGUGAACGGUCGAGAUUGAGGCGGCGGCACGAACGACCGACGACGACGACGACGACGACGACGACGGCGCGGGACGCGAACGCGAGCGCGCGCGAUGCGAGGGACGGCGUCGACGACGCGGGAUUCCGCGGCGUGGACGGACGACGAUGAUGGACGCGGGAGCGAUGCGAGACGGGAUGCGGUGCGUGCGAGCGCGAGGAAGGGUGGACGCGCGCGCCGAGAGACGACAUCGACGAGACGAGACGAGACGAGACGAGACGAGGGUGGAGACGAGACGAGACGAGGCGAGGGUGGAAACGAGGGUGGAGACGAGUUUGUAUGACUGACGAUACGGUGGUUUCGAACGAGGCAGAGCCCGGCGGUUGUGGCGGUGGCGGAAGAGUUGCUCGCGUGCUCGCUGCCCGGUGGGGUGACGACGCGCGCGAGAUUUGAGUGGAGGUACGGGAAGUGCGAGGAACGACACUGGGGCGACGUGUUCGCUCGAUUCGCGGAGUACUUGACGCGCGAGGGUGUGCGCGCGAUCGAAAAUCGAUGGAUUCGCGAUCGCGGCGACGAUGCGUCGGAGCGAAUCGAGGCGUUUGCGGCGGUGAAUU